RNAcentral lists this unclassified non-coding RNA (2065 nucleotides) under Hevea brasiliensis (rubber tree). Lineage: Eukaryota; Viridiplantae; Streptophyta; Magnoliopsida; Malpighiales; Euphorbiaceae. The record is from RNAcentral.
GUACCCUUGAGGAGGCGUUUCCAUUGAUAAGGCUGUUAGAGACAACGAAGCAGCCACUUUCCGGCGUUUAUUCUUCCACGUCAAAAGUGGCACGCUCGCAAAUUUGCCAAACUUUGGAGGGCAAUUUCGACCAGAGAAGCGAUAUGCUUGGGGAUUUGGUAGGAACUCACACAAACCCAUCGCUACGCGUCGUUUUUGCAGUUUCCCGUAACUUACUUGGUCACCAAGUCAGUAAAUGUACCGAAACCGCCUGGUUUCCUCUCACGCUCUCUGGUUACUAAUUUUUUUAUUCCGAAAAUACCCUAACCGCCUCUCUACAUUUACCGUUUCAUCCCCUUUCGCCUAAACCCGCCAUUUAUAUAUAUAAACCCUCUUCUCUGAUACUUUGCCAGCUAAUCCUCUUCGCUUUCAUGCCCUCAAACCCUUAAACUCACCCAAUCUCUUGACGUUAUUUAGCCAAUGAUGAUGGAGGCCAAGGGAGCGUCGUUUCCGGUUGUGUUCUUCGACGGCGAACAGGAGACCAGCCUUGGUGACGUCGUCGUUUCCCCUUCUUUGAAUUUCAAAGUUUUCCAAUCGAUUAUCGUUGAGAAACUCGGUCUCUCUCCUCACCAGUUCUCUAUUUAUCUCGCGGACCGCAAGAGGCGUGGCUCAAGAAUCCCCGUCACCGGAAAGAUCGAUUUCACGGCGGUUUCUUAUGAGAAGGAUUGCUUCUUUCUCGUGGUUCUCAAGCGAUCGAGGCGAGAGAGGAGGCGGAAAAGCCGCGAGGUGGCCGAAAUUAUGCAGAACCGUUUCGAUCCACCUGCUAAUCUGAUGCUUUUGAGACGAGACGGUAACACUAUUGCAAUAAACAGUACUGGGUUUUCUGCCCUGGACUUGGGUCGGUCUGGGUACGAAAGUCGGGUAAAGGAACUACAGAUGCAGAAAGAGCGGUACUGGUACUUGAUGAAUAUGGAUUUGGGGUUCGAAGGAGGGCCGAACUUGGGAGCAGAGAGAUCGAAUAGAACAGUAGUUUGCGAGGAAUGCUUAAGGGCUAAGGAGAUGGGCAGAGAUGUUGGGUUCCACUGGUGUGUUUAUGAUACUGUUACUUUCGGGUUCAGGUCACCGGCGGGUCCGAUUGCCCGUCCCGUUAAAGGAUCUAAUUGAGGAUGAUAGUGCAGCGUCGGCAUUUUAAUCGAGGAGUUUUCCCAUUUCUCAUCCGUGCACAGCAGGAAGAGUACAAGAGGAGGGCCGUAUGGUAUACCUUACUAUACGUAUAUGACUGUCCUUAUAAUUUAGGGUUAUAUAUACCAAUACAGUAUAUGGGUAUAUGGGGUAUAUAAGAAGAGGGACAUUUAGUACACUAAAGAAGUGUAGGGCUUUUGGAUUGUGUUUUGGGUGAUACAAGAAACACAAUUGGGUAGAAAAGGGUAUAGAAGUUUUUGAAUUGUGAUUGUGAUUGUGAUUGUGAAGCAAUAUCUGGGAGUUUGGCUGAUCUGCUGCGCCAACCGCCGUCUGUGUCCGGCUGAAUUGAGCCUGACCGUGUCUUUGCAUUUCAAAUGAAGCGGGAGAUUGAAUGUGCGUUUGGCUUAGCAGCUGCAUAGUUUCACUCUCCAGGUACCUAUUUCUUCUCUCUACAUUAUUGUAAUUUUUGUUCCCACCUCCUCCAUUUUCCAAAUUUAGCUGAAGUGGCCUAAAUCCUUGAUUGCGUUGCCAAUCAGCUGAAGAAGAAUGGUGUGGACCUAUGGAACCAUUUGAGCUGUCGUUUUGCUUUGAGCUUGAAUUUCCUAAACUCAAAUCAAGACUAUGAUCCGCCAAAUUGCUACUUGAAUCAGUUGUCGGGUUCAGUUCAUUCUCGUAGAUGCUGGGAUCGAAAUUGGUGACAGCUUCUUUGCCAUUACACUUGAUUGCAGCUUUAUCAUAAGCCCUUGCGGCUUCAAUCUCGGUAUCGAACAAACCCAAAUAGACAUACUUUUUGCCAAGAAAUUGGCCCAUUCGAGCCUCCCAUCUUCCACACUUGUGAAGUGUUACACCUCUAUACUUGGAGCUCCCUCUGGGGAAGCCAGUGCUUUGUCGGCGAAGUACAUGC